Molecule: long non-coding RNA, 568 nt
Filed under: Vitis vinifera (wine grape)
Lineage: Eukaryota; Viridiplantae; Streptophyta; Magnoliopsida; Vitales; Vitaceae
Description: long non-coding RNA (VVIN_LNC003971)
Source: RNAcentral
CUACUUAAAAGCUUAGUAUCACUGAAGAAAUGAAAUUUAUGAUAAGUGAAUGAGAGAUAAAAGGGAAGAAGAGAAAUCCUUGAUAAAGGGAGAAACAAGUGAGGGGCUCUAACAACAUUGCUUGCUAGAUUUGGUCAACAGGUCUUAAUUUUCAAAAGUUAGCAUAUUGACGCAAACAUUAAUAUGAAAAAUUAUGUCAACAUGUCACAUGAUGUAUCAAGGUAUAUGUUAUGCAGCAAGGUUAAUGUUCAAGAGUUUCUCUUAAUAAGGGAUUGACUCUAUUUUUUUUUUCUGAUAAAUAAGAGUGGGCAUUAAAAAGCGCAACUAGCACACCAGAGUACACAAGUCAUUACAAUAAGGGAUUGAUCUAUUUUAACCCACUGCAUAUCCUCACUGGUUUUUACAUUAAAUUUGCAAUCUAAUCAUCUUCAAUUAUCUCCUCUUGUUCCUCCAUUCUACAUCUUAUCUCUACAAGCAGUCAUAUUCUCCGUUGACUCCUCAAUUUGAGAAUGCAAUUCAUCAUUUGCACAUUCCUUAAGAAAUUCAAUCUAAAGGAUGCUUACUUUUU